UACGUAGGGUGCGAGCGUUAUUCGGAAUUACUAGGGCGUACAGGGUGCGUAGGCGGCCUAUUAAGUCGAUUGUUAAAUAUCCCGGCCUAACCGGGAAAGUGCGGUUGAUACUGAUAGGCUAGAGGGUGGAAGAGAGAAGUGGAAUUCUCGGAGUAGCGGUAAAAUGCGUAGAUAUCGAGAGGAACACCAAUGGCGAAGGCAGCUUCUUGGUCCACAUCUGACGCUGAGGCACGAAAGCGUGGGGAGCAAACAGG
RNAcentral lists this ribosomal RNA (254 nucleotides) under uncultured bacterium. Its description in RNAcentral is "partial 16S ribosomal RNA". It matches the Rfam family "Bacterial small subunit ribosomal RNA", at positions 524 to 776 of the family's 1533-position model. The record is from RNAcentral.